This 671-nucleotide ribosomal RNA is filed under the name uncultured bacterium. RNAcentral describes it as "bacterial SSU rRNA". It matches the Rfam family "Bacterial small subunit ribosomal RNA", at positions 104 to 809 of the family's 1533-position model. The record is from RNAcentral.
GGGUGAGUAACACGUGGGAACGUGCCUUUAGGUUCGGAAUAGCUCCUGGAAACGGGGUGGUAAUGCCGAAUGUGCCCUUCGGGGGAAAGAUUUAUCGCCUUUAGAGCGGCCCGCGUCUGAUUAGCUAGUUGGUGAGGUAACGGCUCACCAAGGCGACGAUCAGUAGCUGGUCUGAGAGGAUGACCAGCCACACUGGGACUGAGACACGGCCCAGACUCCUACGGGAGGCAGCAGUGGGGAAUCUUGCGCAAUGGGCGAAAGCCUGACGCAGCCAUGCCGCGUGAAUGAUGAAGGUCUUAGGAUUGUAAAAUUCUUUCACCGGGGACGAUAAUGACGGUACCCGGAGAAGAAGCCCCGGCUAACUUCGUGCCAGCAGCCGCGGUAAUACGAAGGGGGCUAGCGUUGCUCGGAAUUACUGGGCGUAAAGGGCGCGUAGGCGGAUCGUUAAGUCAGAGGUGAAAUCCCAGGGCUCAACCCUGGAACUGCCUUUGAUACUGGCGAUCUUGAGUAUGAGAGAGGUAUGUGGAACUCCGAGUGUAGAGGUGAAAUUCGUAGAUAUUCGGAAGAACACCAGUGGCGAAGGCGACAUACUGGCUCAUUACUGACGCUGAGGCGCGAAAGCGUGGGGAGCAAACGGGAUUAGAUACCCUGGUAGUCCACGCCGUAAACGA